GGACUACCAGGGUAUCUAAUCCUGUUCGCUCCCCUAGCUUUCGCGCCUCAGCGUCAGAUGCCAGCCAGGACACUGCCUUCGCCUUUGGUAUUCCUCCGGAUAUCUACGCAUUUCACCACUCCACCCGGAAUUCUAUGUCCCUCUCUGGCCCUCAAGUACCGCAGUUUUUGAAGACCUUUCCCAGUUGAGCCGGGAAUUGUCACUCCAAACUUACCGCACCGCCUGCACGCCCUUUACGCCCAGUAACUCCGGACAACGCUCGCCCCCUACGUAUUACCGCGGCUGCUGGCAC
This 292-nucleotide ribosomal RNA is filed under the name uncultured bacterium. Its description in RNAcentral is "partial 16S ribosomal RNA". The record is from RNAcentral.